This 31-nucleotide non-coding RNA is filed under the name Mus musculus (house mouse). The record is from RNAcentral. Lineage: Eukaryota; Metazoa; Chordata; Mammalia; Rodentia; Muridae.
UGUCUAAUGGCCUUAGCAAAAUGGUAAGUGC